This 500-nucleotide ribosomal RNA is filed under the name uncultured bacterium. RNAcentral's name for it is "partial 16S ribosomal RNA". It matches the Rfam family "Bacterial small subunit ribosomal RNA", at positions 30 to 523 of the family's 1533-position model. The record is from RNAcentral.
AUUGAACGCUGGCGGCAUGCCUUACACAUGCAAGUCGAACGGCAGCACGGGAGCAAUCCUGGUGGCGAGUGGCGAACGGGUGAGUAAUAUAUCGGAACGUGCCCAGUCGUGGGGGAUAACGCAGCGAAAGCUGUGCUAAUACCGCAUACGAUCUAUGGAUGAAAGCGGGGGAUCGCAAGACCUCGCGCGAUUGGAGCGGCCGAUAUCAGAUUAGCUAGUUGGUGAGGUAAAGGCUCACCAAGGCGACGAUCUGUAGCUGGUCUGAGAGGACGACCAGCCAUACUGGAACUGAGACACGGUCCAGACUCCUACGGGAGGCAGCAGUGGGGAAUUUUGGACAAUGGGCGAAAGCCUGAUCCUGCAAUGCCGCGUGCAGGAUGAAGGCCUUCGGGUUGUAAACUGCUUUUGUACGGAACGAAACGGUGAGCUCUAAUACAGUUUGCUAAUGACGGUACCGUAAGAAUAAGCACCGGCUAACUACGUGCCAGCAGCCGCGGUAA